GGCCGUCUUGACUAUAGUGGACCAUGUUGAAUUUUUCAGAAACUUAUCCCGAUUGGCUACAGUGAGCUAUGUGGCUAUUGUGGACCACUCAUCACUGCAGUGGGCCAUGUUGACGGCUAUAAUGGACAGUCUCAGGUACGGUGAGCCGUAUGACUACAGUGGAUCAUCUAUGACUGUAGUGGGCCACGUUAAUGGCUACAGUGAGCCAUGU
Molecule: long non-coding RNA, 211 nt
Filed under: Elaeis guineensis (African oil palm)
Lineage: Eukaryota; Viridiplantae; Streptophyta; Magnoliopsida; Arecales; Arecaceae
Description: long non-coding RNA (EGUI_LNC002691)
Source: RNAcentral